CUCAUUAACGUUGAGCUAGAAUUGGUCUCUAACUACUUGCCUAUCCUCUAUCAGGCUUUCCAAACCUACACCCAGGUCAUCCUCACCACACAGAACCGAACAGGAGGAUGCUCCUUCUGCUUUCCUGUGACUGGUCAUUUGCUGGAUCUUUGAAGAUUAAAGACAUAAACUAAGACCUUAGGAAACCGGAGGAUGUGCUGCAAGAAGAAAACCAGAGCUGGAGGAAGGUACCACUGUGGCUGGCGCCUCCUUGCUGCUGCAGUCAUUCUGCCCUCCGGAAGGAAAGGCCAAGGCAAUAACAGAAGUGCCAGCCCAGACAGACAGACAUCAGCUGCUGAAACCAAUGCCAGCAACCACCUACCUUCAGACUUCUUACCACGUGAG
This is a long non-coding RNA of Eptesicus fuscus (big brown bat), 384 nucleotides long. RefSeq lists it as uncharacterized. NCBI's taxonomy places the organism in Eukaryota, Metazoa, Chordata, Mammalia, Chiroptera, Vespertilionidae. The record is from RefSeq and is a predicted model, not a curated record. The transcript is spliced from 4 exons.